UCUUCUCACUCUCCAAUAGCAUGUGGAAGAGAGACCCUUAUAAAGGGGUCCAACUUCUCCUCCACUAGCGAGGUGGGACUAAACUUCCCACCACCUUGUCAUGCCACCACCUACAUGGGCCCUUGGAGAUUUUUCUGAAAUUUGUCUUAUGGGCCUAAGGCCCAUCUCUAAUUUCAACAAUCCCCCACCAGAUCUCAAGGGCACAUCGUGUUCCCUCGUUCCAAUCACUGUUUUAAUAUACCAGCAUUUCAGUGAAGACC
This 260-nucleotide long non-coding RNA is filed under the name Hordeum vulgare. RNAcentral's name for it is "long non-coding RNA (HVUL_LNC007066)". The record is from RNAcentral. Lineage: Eukaryota; Viridiplantae; Streptophyta; Magnoliopsida; Poales; Poaceae.